This 443-nucleotide ribosomal RNA is filed under the name uncultured bacterium. Its description in RNAcentral is "partial 16S ribosomal RNA". It matches the Rfam family "Bacterial small subunit ribosomal RNA", at positions 338 to 795 of the family's 1533-position model. The record is from RNAcentral.
CCUACGGGAGGCAGCAGUGGGGAAUAUUGGGCAAUGGGCGCAAGCCUGACCCAGCAACGCCGCGUGAAGGAAGAAGGCUUUCGGGUUGUAAACUUCUUUUAUCAGGGACGAAGCAAGUGACGGUACCUGAUGAAUAAGCCACGGCUAACUACGUGCCAGCAGCCGCGGUAAUACGUAGGUGGCAAGCGUUAUCCGGAUUUACUGGGUGUAAAGGGCGUGUAGGCGGGAAAGCAAGUCAGAUGUGAAAACCAUGAGCUCAACCUGUGGCCUGCAGUUGAAACUGGUUUUCUUGAGUACUGGAGAGGCAGACGGAAUUCCUAGUGUAGCGGUGAAAGGCGUAGAUAUUAGGAGGAACACCAGUGGCGAAGGCGGUCUGCUGGACAGCAACUGACGCUGAGGCGCGAAAGCGUGGGGAGCAAACAGGAUUAGAUACCCCAGUAGUC